GGGGCUGGGAGUGUGGCUCAGAGGUUGAAGUAGUUGCAAAGUGCGGGGGCUGGGGGCAGGAUCCUGCUGCCGUGGCC
RNAcentral lists this microRNA precursor (77 nucleotides) under Chinchilla lanigera (long-tailed chinchilla). Its description in RNAcentral is "miRNA (ENSCLAG00000019238.1)". Lineage: Eukaryota; Metazoa; Chordata; Mammalia; Rodentia; Chinchillidae. The record is from RNAcentral.